This 3848-nucleotide long non-coding RNA is filed under the name Olea europaea subsp. europaea. Lineage: Eukaryota; Viridiplantae; Streptophyta; Magnoliopsida; Lamiales; Oleaceae. The record is from RNAcentral.
CUCACGACAACUAUAGAAAUAAAAAAAAAUACAAGAAAGCAAAAAACAUAUAACAAAGGAACAAAUAGAACAAAAAAAUGCAUAAAAAUAACAUCAAAGAAACAAACUUUAUAUAUUUUGGGUUCGAUCUCUUAAAAGAAGAAAAAGAAGAACAAAAAUUGCACGACUACAUAAAUUGAAAAACAUAUACACAAUAUCCUAAUAACCUUAACCAUCCCUUGAAACAUGGCUUUACAUAUUUCAGAUUCGAACUCUUCGAAGAUCGAACCAAAAAAUAAAAAAUUAAAACUAAGCAUGGAUUGAACAAUAUAACUCAAAAAAGCAAAUCCAAUAUAUGCAAAACAAAAAGAAAUCAAUGCAGUAACAACUGUACUCACAAGUAUACGUCUCAGUUAGCUUCUUCUCCAGCCGUCGGUUGAAUUUCGUCUUUUUCUAUUGAGAGAGCAAUUAGGGAUUAGUAUAGAAAACUUUCGGUCCAGACAGUCAAAGGAGAUAUUUUGUAUCCGUAUGGAAAGACAAUUAGGCUCAGAGGUUCAAAAUUAGCAAAAUGGGAUUGAAGGGUAAAAUGAGAAAAGUAAGAAAGCUUCAUAAAUGAACAGUGUUUUAUGGAUUCUCUGAAUGGUGAAUGCAUGUACGUUACACGUGUAGUUGGUAAUGUAGUGUAAGUAAUAGUAUUGAAUUUUGGUUUUGUGAGAUUUUAGUGGAAAACCUGCUUUGCAUGAAGAUUAUAUUGGAUUAUAUAAAUUGUGUCCACAAGUAUUUUCAUUGAUGAUGGUAAUAUUAAGCAAAAAACAGAGUUGUUUCAAUCUACAAAGGUUUAACAUAUUUAUAUUACAAUAAACAAAAGUUAUUACGACAAACGGAGGUAUGGUGGAUUGUAGACAUAAGCAUUCAAAAGAAAAUCAAAAUACAUAUUUGAAAUUCUCAAAUAACUACUCCUGCUUUCGUUUUUUGUUUGCUAGGUUACAACGUCAUAUUUAAAAGUUCUUUGAAUUGGUGAGCUAUUUGUUGAUGUAACGUUUGCAUUCUAAGUUAAAGAGAUGUUUGUGAAGUAUUUGGUUGUAUUCAAAUUAGCUUCAAAUUCACAUAUAUAAUCAUCGAAAAAUAUCUUGUACCGUUCUUUAAAUGCUAACUUUAAUUGUUGAAAGCCAACAUUUAUCUAGAAAGAGAGAAAUAGAUCUCGAAUGAACACAAAGUUUCACCUCAAAAUUCAGAAUUAAGAACAAUAGCAUCCGAAGGGUCUUUAGAAAUAAUAAUAAAUUUUACACAUGCCUUCAUUCAGAGGAAAAACAGAUUUGUGCAUAUAUAUUUUGGUCAAAUAAAAUGGAUAAUGAGAUCCACCAUCCAUAGCUAUAAAGUCAUACAUACUUGAAGUUGAUUUAUUUCUAUACACAAAAUUUAUUUGCAAGGGUGUAAAGAAAAUUCCCAAUUUCUUCAUCUAUUAAUAACACUUACCAAGUAAACAAGCUCUUCUAAGAUUAAAACUUAAUUUACAAAAAAUAAAAGGAAAAAAUGCAUUCCAUGUCCUUUGCUCCGUGAGAGAAAGUAAAGAAAAAUCAUGGACCAUUAACAAUAAUAUAUUAAAGUAGCACUCUUGACACAUAAUCAAGACACAGAAAUAUAAAGGACAUCAGAUUGUCAUAAGCAUCAUUUGUGCUAGGCAUAUUUUGAGUUCUCCCAAACAUUAAAUUGUCUUUUGCAUAUCAAUCGACACUUGUCUAAUGGUAGUAGUACUAUAUUUCAAAGUACAAACAGUACUUUUGAUUCAAAAUGACAAUAUAGUUCAAGUUCCCCUUUAAGGAUAGCAAUUGCAAUUGCAAUAAAGUCAUACUUUCGCUAAAACUAAAACUAAAACUAACAUUUAUUCACGAAAAUAUAACUUAUAAUAUAAUGCAAAAGAAGAUGGAAAAGAAAGCUCUUAUUUCUACAAAGUUCUCCCCUAAUUCAGGAAAGAUGCCAGUGCUCCUACAUUGCUCACCAAUAAGAUUGGUUAGGUCUUCGGAAGGAAGAAAUCUCAUAAGUUAACUAUUAAUCCACCUUUGAUGUUAUGAAAAUAUGUUCAAUGCGGGAACACAAUUGGUCAAGGCCAAAGCAAAAGUUUUAGAAGUCAUUGCCAUACUUUUUAAGUAAAAAUUUUGGCCGAUUGAUCGUCUGCAAUAGGAAAAUUGUACUGAUUAUAACUUUAAACUAUUAAAUUAAGUCCAUAAUCAUGGUCCAAAAAUUAAUUUCAUAACAGUGAUCUUCCCACAAGGAUUGUAUUAUCUAUUACAUUACCUCGAAAUCUUAAAAUACCAAUGUUAAAUAAUUGAAUUCAUCCAUAUGCAACAUUCUUGGGUAAUUACUACUAUCUAUUUAUUAAUCAACAAUGAAUUAUUUCGAUAAAAGCAGGAAUAACAAAAAAAAAUAGCAUAAUAUAUGAUUGAAUUAUCAACUCAUUAAAAAUGUCGUCAUACUCAUAAAGAACGUCUUAGACUACCAUAAACCUUAGGUUCACUAAUGAAAGCCAAUGUACUCGCGAACCAUAUGUUUGCUAAUUAAAGCUUUUAUCAAUACUGGGCAAACGUAUAUAGUACAACACAUGUGUCACAUAAUGCAAUUGAAAAAGGCAAAUAUUGAGGUCAAUAAAUCUCAACUACAUUUAGGAGAGUCCUUAUUUGGGGUACACUUCUCCAUAAAUCAACACAUGGAAUGUUUAUCUCAAAAAAUCCUAUCCAAAAUAAAUAAGUCAUUUGACUUAUUAAUAAAAUUUGAAACUUACUUGAAUAGACCAUAAAGAAAUACUUAGAAGACUACCAUCCAUGUUAACUUAAGCAUCUUCUUCUAGAAAUAUCAAGAAAAUUUCAAGAUUCAGAUUCAGAAUAAAUUAUUGUGUGUGCAUUUUAGCUUUAAUAUUUUCAAAUUUUUUUGUGAGAUUCAUAAAUCCUAGAUGUGAAGGGGGGAAAAACUCCAAGACAAUUACUAUUGAAUUAAAUAUUCUUUCUUUUAAAUUUAAAAACUGAAAUAUAUAUGCAUUAGAACCUUUUAACCAAGAGGGCAACCGAAACCAAAAAAUCAGGCCAAACAUGAAUCCAUAGCCCACCAAAAAAGACAACUUCAUUCCAUCGUUUGCAGUCAUUUUAUAAACAAUAUUGAUUCCAGCAAAUAUUGUUUGCACCAUCACCAUCAGUAAUGUUGGCUUCACCCUUCUAACGAGUCACAAAUCUUCAUAUUUUCAAUCAAACUCCCACCGACAAAACUAAAUAAACCUACCAACAAGAAACUUAAAAACUUUAAGAGAUAUAGGACUUUCAAUUAAACACCCAAUCAACAAAAAUAAAUAGUAAAUCUACCAAGAAGAAACUUAAAAACCUUGAGAGAUGUAGGAAUUUCAAUCAAAACUCUCAAACCACAAAAGUAAAUUUUAAAUCUACCAAGAAAAACUUUAAAACCCAAGACAGAAUGAAAAUUUUCAAUCAAACUCCCAACCCACCAUAGCAAAUAAUUCUACCAAGAACAGCGAGAACAAAAUGAAAGUUCAAUUUUUUCGAGUUCUUGCCUAAAAAGAGGAGAAGAACCGAACAGGAAAUAGAAGGAAAAAUAUAUCUCAUGUUUGGCCAUGUCCUUCUCUGUAACACCUACCGCAACAAAUAGAGAAUAGAGAAGAAGAAAGGAGAAGUGUUGGUCACAAAGCACAAUUAUCAUCACCAUUUAAUAACCUAUAAAUAUGUACGAAGGAAGAAGAAGCCAAAGGAGAAACUCAAGAUAGAACACAGAAAAUCCCAAAUGUUCUAGAUGAUGCUCAGGAAAAGGUCUACUUUAUAGCCACCCAGGCACACGGCUCGACUAACCGGCUGACUCGAACAUAGCUU